GGACUACUCGGGUAUCUAAUCCGGUUCGCUCCCCACGCGGUCGCGCCUCAGCGUCAGGGCACCCCCAGCCGGCCGCCUUCGCCACAGGUGUUCCUCCCGAUCUCUACGCAUUUCACCACUACACCGGGAAUUCCACCGGCCUCUGAGCCCCUCCAGUCGGCCAGUCUCCGCCGCCCCCUCCCAGUUGAGCCGGGAGAUUUCACAGCAGACUUAGCCCACCGCCUGCGCGCGCUUUACGCCCAAUAAAUCCGGACAACGCUCGCCACCUACGUAUUACCGCGGCUGCUGGCAC
Molecule: ribosomal RNA, 292 nt
Filed under: uncultured bacterium
Lineage: Bacteria
Description: partial 16S ribosomal RNA
Source: RNAcentral